UGGGCUGUAGUUUAGUGUUAAGAGUGCUUUUUUGGCAUGAAAGAGGUCCUAGGUUCAAUCCCUAGUACCAUAU
Molecule: transfer RNA, 73 nt
Filed under: Dipodomys ordii (Ord's kangaroo rat)
Lineage: Eukaryota; Metazoa; Chordata; Mammalia; Rodentia; Heteromyidae
Rfam family: tRNA
About the family: Transfer RNA (tRNA) molecules are approximately 80 nucleotides in length. Their secondary structure includes four short double-helical elements and three loops (D, anti-codon, and T loops). Further hydrogen bonds mediate the characteristic L-shaped molecular structure. tRNAs have two regions of fundamental functional importance: the anti-codon, which is responsible for specific mRNA codon recognition, and the 3' end, to which the tRNAs corresponding amino acid is attached (by aminoacyl-tRNA synthetases). tRNAs cope with the degeneracy of the genetic code in two manners: having more than one tRNA (with a specific anti-codon) for a particular amino acid; and 'wobble' base-pairing, i.e. permitting non-standard base-pairing at the 3rd anti-codon position.
Source: Rfam by way of RNAcentral